GCUUACAUACCACUCGUGCCUCUAAGGAAGACGAGCAUCCUGGCGGAAUGUCCAUAUAAACCUCCUCCUCAAGAUCAACAUGGAGGAAGGUAUUUUUUACAUCAAGUUGGUGCAAUGGCCAAUCUAAAUUUGCUGCAAUAGAUAACAAGACUAACAAUAUUUAGUUUGGCUACGGGUGAGAAAGUUUCUUAAUAAUCUAUUCCAUAUGUCUGUGUAUACCCCUUUGCCACUAGUCUUGCCUUGUGUCGAUCGAUGGACCCAUCUGCAUUGUAUUUAAUGGAUAAAAUCCACUUGCACCAGCCCCUUCUCAUCAAUGGACUCUUGACGUAUACGAAGGAGUGCCCCACUGUCUUCUUUCCUCUAGGUAGUUCCACCAGUGCCAAUGUUUUAUUUUUCUGUAAAGCCUACGGUUCUUCCUUUAUAGCGUUAGCCCAAUAUGGAUCUGUCAAGGCUUCUUCAACGGUGCUAGGUAUUUUACAUGAGGACAAGGUAUGUGCAAAUGCUCUAAGAGGUCCAGAUAACCAUUGCAUAGAUAUAUAGUUGGCUAUUGGAUAUUUAGAACGUCUGUCUUUUAUAUUUGGAGAGUACCUAUUUGGUGGCUUGCCCCGAUUGUGUCUGUAAGGUAGAACAUGACUGGCAAAUUUAUCCAUGACAUUAGUGUGUAAAGGUGUAGUAGGAGAACUUACAUUAGGAUUAUUCUCAAGAGGAGGUUCGUCAGGGUCAGGUACUAAGAGGUGGGGAAAGUCAUCUGCAAAGUCUGCACUUAUCGCUGAAACCAACUCAUCUCUUGGAUCCACAGGAACCAUUGAAGCACCUUGAACAUUCAGCUCAAUUCUUUCAUCUUCAUUGUUCAUAUACGUUUGAUUGUUUCCAACAUCCAGCCCUUCACCAACCAGUAGGUGUUGCUCUCCUCCCAACCAAUUCUGCUCUUCAUCGCGAUGCUCCUCUUGAAGAGUGGAAUUGGAUGCCGAAGAUGGGAAGAAGGUGUCAGAUUCUAAAACCGUGACAUCCAUGGUAAUGUAGGUGCGUUUUUUGGUGGGAUCAAAGUAGCGAUAUCCUUUCUUAUAUACUCCAUACCCUAAGAACAGGCAUCGAAUUACGCAUGUGUCCAACUUAGUUCUUUGAUUUUUAUGGAGGUGUACAAAUGCAACGCAACCGAAAAUACAGGGAGGAAGCAACAACACAGUAGGUAAUGGGACAUGGUUAGAUAUAACCUUUAAUGGAGUCUGAAAUGUUAAUACCUUUGUAGGAAUACGAUUCAAUAAAUGCACGGUCGUAGCAACAACAUCAUCCCAAUAGCGACUAGGCAUAUGUGCCCCGAUUAAUAAAGUGCAUGUAGUUUCUAAGAUAUGUUGAUUCUUCCUUUCAGCAAGACCAUUUUGUUGUGGGUUUUGAGAACAUGAGGUCUCAUGGAGAAGACCAUGAUUCUAAAAGUAUGCUUGAAACUGCUGAUUAACAUAUUCCCCUCCAUUGUCAGAAUGAAGGAUAUGAAUCUUCAUAGAAAAUUUGAGUCUAAACCAUGAUGUGAAAGGAUUUGAACACACUAAAUACUUCAUCUUUGUGUUUUAGUAAGUACAACCAUGUCAUUCGAGUGCAAUCAUCGACAAAAAUCACAAACCAACGAUGUUCAAAAGAAGUAGUAACAGGGGAAGGUCCCCACACAUCAGAGUGUAUUAAUGCAAAUGGAAUUGUACUUUUAUUCAUGCUCACAGGAUAAGAAACCCUAUGAAUCUCGGCUAGAAUGCAAGUAUUACACGUAAAUUUUGAGUGUAUUCCAUUGGAAAAUAAAUCUGGAAAUAAGUGCUUCAAAUAACCAAUUGAAGGAUAUCAUAAGCGAUGGUGCCAUUACCAAAUAUGUUCUUUCUUGCUAACCGCAUGGUGCAUGAUAUUUUCUCUGCCUGUACUAAGGUCAUCAACAUAGUAUAAUCCCCCCUCUUAGUAGUAUGCCCAUUUAUCUCCUUAGUGAGAAUAUCCUGAAGAAGAUGAAAUGUAGAGUAUAUUAAUACCACAUAAUUGAGAUCAACAGUAACUUAGCUUACAGACAUUAGUUUGUGGGAAAGAGAUGGAACAAGUAACGUAUGAGAUAAUUAUAAAGAAGGAGAUAGAGUUACAGUUCCAGCCCUUGUAACUAGGCAAGGGACCCCAUUAGCAGUAGCAACAUGACUUCGUCUUGGCAGAGUUGUAUGAGAAAAAUCAUUAGAGUCAAAUGUCAGUAGCCCUAGAGUCGAGAAUCCAUUUGUCAUCAGCAUUGUGAGUAGAGCUAUAGAGUGCGUUACUGCUGUUACCUGAAUUAUGUGUGGUUUCUACAUGGGAGGUGAGGAAUAGUGAAGGUUCCCCAGUAACUAUAGUAGCUCUUCUUGUGCUGGCAUUACUUAUAGGAGUGUCUCAUUUCUUCCUUUUCUGAAGAUCAUGCCACCAAUCUAGGUAUCCAUGUAACUUAAAGCAGGUUUCACAGGUAUGUUUGGCGUUGCCACAAUGAGUGCACUUCAUUUCAUCUGAUGGAGUCGUCAUUUUUACGGAUGGAUUUGGUUUGUCAUUGCUCAGGGAGAGAAACCUUGUCUUCAGUGGUGUAUGGUAACGGCCUGCCUUGAGUGCUUUGGAAUUCAUAACCAUUCUAGGAGCACUCUCGGCCACUGAUGUCAUUACUGUCUGUCUUAUUUCUUCCUGUCUGACAUAAGCAUAAGCCUGCUCCACUGUAAGGAAUGGUUUUAGCUAAAGCACAUUGACACGACCAAAAGCUUGAUGUCUUUUCCCAAGUGCAGGAGUGUCGAAGUAAUCAAUAACCUGGGAAGACCAGGGUCGAACCACAAAGAGGUUAAUUGUAUAAAUUAUAAAUAACAAUACAACAACAACAACAAUAAUAACAAUAAUAAUUAUUAUAAUACUCAGUACGUGGCGUUGUUAUACCUGAGAAUGAUCUAAAAGAUCGGGUCACAGGUUUCUAGCCUAUAUACUGAGUUUAUGAUAAGAUCAAAGAUAUAUAUUAUAUAAUAUAAACAGAAUAUAAAUAAUAAUAAUAAUAAUAAUAAAAGGAGAAGAUGAAGAAAUUAAUGAGAACUUUGAGAUGAAAGAUUAACGUAAGGAUUAAAUAAUGAUAAAAACAAAUGUCAAGGUUAGAGGAUCCACUAAUGGUACUUCAAACAAAUAUAGUAUAAACUCUUAUUACUCAAUUGGAAACCACACAUAAAGGAGGUUCCAAUCAGAUUAUAAAUUGUUAACAUGAUUACAUUAGUUAUCUUAUUCGAAUAAAGCUAAUACUUGUAAAUGUUGGCAGGCAUUCAUGAUUAUAACUUAUGUUAACAACAAAUCAAGUUCUUUUCAUAGCUCAGGUGUCGGUUAAACCAUACAGUAUGGGCUAUGAAAGUGCCAAGUAUUUGUUGUACCAAGUGUUAUACAACAUAAAUCUAGAUUAACCAUUUAACAAGCAAAGUAUUCAAAGUGAACAAGAUAACAAAUAUAAAACAUGUUAGUAUCCAAUGUUAAGGUCCAUGUUAAGUUUAUAUUAUACUUGUUCUUACACCAUUAGUGUACCCUUUUCACCUUGACAUAAUUAACUUAGCUAACAUAAUAAAAGAAAGAAACAUAAAUGAACAAGAUAAGAACAUAAAUGAGAAAGAAGUUAACUAGAAAAGGAAAGGAAAUGAAGUGCAUAAACUUGAUAUUAAUGAAAGCAAGACAUAAGCAAUACAAAGAGAGAAAGCAAGAGCAUGAUCUUGAUCUGAAACCAAGAUGCCUCAAUACAUGGUAAGUGCCUCCUUUUAUAGGCCAAAAUUUGGAACUAUUGAUUUGUUGACUAAUUGAUGAGUGGGUGGCCACAUCUUGACUAGAUAACAAUCCUUAUCUUCUUGUCUGAUCAAGACGUCAUUGCUAACAUCAUAAUUUGCCCAGAAUCCUCAAGAAUGUUCUAGGAAAUUGUCUCAGCUUUCCAACAAAAAAAAGAUGAGGUCAUUUGGACUUCUAGAACUCAAGAUAUGGGUGAACACUAAAUAGUGUUUGGGCUGCAGGACAGCUUCGGACUUCUUCGUUGUUCCUUCAAUUUGGACUUCAAAACGACCUUUUCAAAUCUUGGGCUCCUCAUGAAAGUUGUAGGCCUUUGUCUUACCUUUCCAUCCAUAUAAAGUGGACCUAAAUCCGAAAUCUAGAGCUCCAGAUAUGAUCCAAUUACCGAGCAAUGUUCCGGUUUGGACUGCACCGACAUCUCUUUUCUAAGUUUGGCCAUCUCUUUGUCCUUUAACUUUCAAUGCUUAAACUCAUCAAUCAAUCCUUUUAUUUAUGUGAUAGUCCUGCAUUUAAAAUGAGCAUUUACCAUAAAUUAAGGUAUCUUAUAAUAUCAAACUUGUUAUUAUAAAACAUGCUUUAGUUAAGGAGUUAUUGAUACUUCAAGUGCAAAAUGAUGAUAUAAAACCUUGAUAAACAUGCACUUUUAAGUACUAAUCACACCCCCAACCAGCUUAUUACUAGUCCCUAGUAAUCUAAAGCGUUAAAAUAGAGAAACAAUUUGCAAGUUCCACAAAGCAAGGCAUUCAUCAUUCAACUUCCAUUAAUCUAUCCAGAUAAACAAACUCUCAUUAAAUUUAUAUUCCUGCUUCAUACUUCUUAAACAAGAUAUUAAUAAACCUUCUUUUUAUGUGCUCAAUAUAUGAAAACAUAGAUGAUGGGGCUUUUGUUGGAAGAAAACAAUAUUAUGUUCAAAUGUUUAAGGUGAACUUCCUUGGGUUGGGAAUUUUUUUUUUUCUUCUUUUUUUUUUCUCUUUUUUAUAUAUAUAUACAUACAACUUAAAACACAAACACAAUGUAUCUUUAACCCAUGUAACGAGUUUUAGGCUAAUGACUCCCAGACCAGUUGGUCUUAGGGCAUUAGGUGUUGAGACACCCCUACGAGCUUAACAACUCGGGUUGCAGAUACUGAUACGUAGAUAGUGCAAUGUUUGAUUCCCUUAAGCGUUUCUCCUUAACCCGUGUAACAAGCUUUGGGCCAAUAGCUCCCAAGUUAGUUGACUUUAGGGUAUUAGGUGUUAAAACACCCCUUCGAGCUUAAUUGUUUAGGUUAGGGAGGUUACGAAACCAAACUUAUCCACGUUUUAUUAUCAUCAAUACUAUCUUUUUUUUUUUUUUUUUUUUGCAAAUUAUAUACUAUCCUUUUCCCUUAGUUGUUACCUUCAACAAAAGAACAUAAUUAAUGUAAUAAUCCAAUGUGCAACCCACAAUCAUAUGUUAAAGUGUGUGUGUGAAAAUGAAGGUUUAAUAAUACUUGUUAAAUGAGUAUAGGAGCAGAAUCAAGUGAUAACAAUGUGAGAGUUUGUAAACCUGAAUAUUUCAAGAAGUAUUAUGAUAGACCUUGUAAUGAAAUACUUAGAUUCUAAGAUGCGUCUCUAAGUCAAUAAUUCCAUACUCUGCCAUCCUAAAUAACAAUUUUGUCAAAUGGUUUUAAUAAAGCAAAAACAGUUAGCAAGUUAGUUUUUUUUUUUUUUUUAAACUACUACCCUCUCCCCCCAACCAAAACGAGACAUUGUCCUCAAUGUUCGAAGGUAGAAAGAUAGAGUAUAGAAGACAUCACCUGAAACAGCGAACAAUGACAAACCUGAAACACACUUAAACAAACAUAAGAAGUAACAAAACAAAAUAAUAUGCUAUUAAUAAAACCAAAAGACACAAGGUUUCACAGAUGAAGGCUCAAAUCUAAUCUAAGCUUUUUACGGCUUUCCUUAGUUGACCAAUCUAGACGACUCAUGCAGGGAUCAAUGACAGGGAUGAAAGAUUGUAGUUGGUCAAUCAAUUGUUCAGCAGUAGCAGCAGAGAUUAUGAUUCGUCGUGCCGAAGAUGUUAGAAAUUCCUGUUCCACAGCUUGAUCAAGGAAAGACAGCAACUUAUCAUAAAAACCAUUAACAUUUAACAAACCUAUAGGUUUAUGGUGAAUGUGCAGUUGGGCCCAAGAUGAAAUAUGAAAGAUCUCUUCCAAUGUGCCCAGACCACCUGGUAAGGCAAUGAAGGCAUCAGCAUGGUUAAACAUGGUAUUCAGUCGGUCAGACAUUGUUGGGACCUGUAGUUCCUCUCCAAUUGUUUUUCCAAUGAUGUCCCCAUUUGCUAAAGCUUUGGGGACAACCCCCAAAACUUGACUGCCUCCUAAAAAUGCAGCCAUUGACACACCUCCCAUUAACCCAAGGCUGCCUCCCCCAUACACUAAAUGAAUCUUUCUCUCAGCUAGUACCCGACCAAGAUGAUUUGCUGAUUCUAAAAACUCUUUUUCUUUCCCAGAACUGGAUCCACCGAAAACACAAAUAUUUCUUAUAUGAUGACUUGAGGAACCUGCCAUUUCUACACACUUCUAUAUUUGAUGAAUAUAUGGGAUGAGUAGAAAUGAAGGGAAGGAAGAUAAGAAUUUAUAGAAAAAGUGAAAAUGCAAUCAUACCACCUAUAUGUAGGCCAGCUGUAGUCUCACAAACUCACUCUCUCUCUCUCUCUAUUUAUUAAUUAUUUAUUUUUGAAAAAGCAUGUAUGUACAGGUAGUUGUGAUUGUGGCUCACAUCUUCCCUUGGUUUUACGUCCAAGAAUGGCUUAAACACCCUCUAUGGGUCGGGGAUAGGCUUCCCAUCCAGUUUUCUUAAAAACUGGCAAACAGGGUCUUUUUUAGUCAGAUUCCCAAGACUAAGUCGAUCAUGUUCUUUAUGGAAUUGUGGCCAUAAAUCAUGAAUUACACGAUGCACAUCUCCACUAGGAUGCGUCUCAAGGGUCAACAAAAGAUUAUCUAAAGACCUCUUACUCAGGCCAUCCUUAAUGAAUUGUAUUUUAUCUUCACGGUUUACAGAUACCAUUCCUAAAGAACUACAUGUCGCAUUACAAGUCCAUCUGGCACAUCUGUGACAGACUUUCAAUCGUUUUGCACGACGUUUCAUUGCAAAAGUGCUUUUACCUGUUCCAGGCAUGUGUGAAAUGAAAGAAUUGGAGGACUCACCUGAUAAGCGGACCUUUGCUUCAAUUAACCAGCGAAUAUCUUCAGGAAUUUCAUGAUUCAUUAAUAACCUCAAUCUUGCACACCUAGCACGGUAAAUUUUAUUAAUCGCAUUUGGAGGCAAAGAGGGAAAAUACCUUUUCAACUUUUCAAGAGUGUUGCUACCCAUUUUUUGAUCCAUGUUUUGAUAUAUUUUCAAAAAAUUCAAAAAUAGAGAAAAACAAAGAAAAUCCAAAAAAAUAUGUUUUUUUAAUAUAUUUUCGUCAUUUUAGCAUUUUUAACGUCGUCUAAAAAAUGAUUUAAAUUUUUAAGGGUCUUUUGAACGCGUUCGACUUUUCACCCGUCAUUUUAAAAUCUUUGAUUUUCCUCAUCGAGUCGACGUUGAUAUUGCUCGUUUUCAAAAAUACAAAAAAAUUAAAAAAAUAUCAAAUUUACAAAAAAGAAAGAAGUUGAGAGACCAAGUUUGAAAACUUGGCAACAUUUUUACCUAUAAAUACUGGUUUCCAACACUUGCAAAAGGGGGGGGGCAAUUUUGAAAACACCAGAAAAUACAACAAAAAAACCCUAAACCACAAAAAACCUAAAAAAAACCCAAUGACAACCGCCUCCCCCAGCUGGUUUUUGAAUUUUUCUCCCCAAGUUUUGUUCUCCUGAAGCCAAGACAGCAGCCACCCCACCCUUGCAUUUUUUGGACACCGGCCAAACAGCCCCUCCCCCAAAUAGCCGCUCAUUUUUUCUCUUCUCCCUCACCCGGCAGCAACAUCGGAGCUUCUUCUCUCUCAGCCGACAACAAACCCACGGCACGCAGCAGCCACUCCGUCCCUCUUCCCCUCUCGUCUCCAGCUCCUUCUCCUCUCAACCAUGGCCUCCCUCAUUCUCCAAGACACAGCAGCUUCAUUUUUUCUCUCCAAGACGACCCAACAACCUCAUGGCCGGCUUUUACAGCAUCUCCUUCCCCAUUAAUCAUGUUUUCUUCUCAAAUCGGUCCGCCGCUGCACCUCCAGCCCCCACGCCGGACUAGCUCCCCUCUUCCAGCCGCUCCUCCAGCGCCCACAGACCCAUCAACACCGAAGCCUCUCCCUUCUCGGCGGCAUCUUCUUCGUUGGUCUUCUCAACAGUAAACAAUCAAAUCAGCAGCACCCACGGAGCUAUCAACGCCGUCCACAACGUCAGCCACGGCCACACCACCCGAUCUGCCAUCCUAAGCAGAGGAGAAGAAGACGAACAAGUAAACCGAUCUGCAGCAAAGCAGAUCAAAAACAGACCCGAGAACAGAUCUGCAAAGGAGAAAAGAAAAUUAAAAUCGACUUCUUUAUUGUGUUUUUGGUGGUUCUUGCAGGUCACCGCCGGCGAGAAAAGAAAGGGGAGAAGAGGCUGAAGCCAGAUCCCCGCGUUUCCAGUUUCUGCCUUGCGGCAGCGCGUCAACCCACGCGCCGCCAGUGACGGUGGCGCGUGGAGGAGACGCGCCACCACCGCCCCACAGUUCCAGAAGUCAUCUUGUGCAGCUCCCGGACAUUUUAAGGAUCUUUUUGUAAUUUGUUACAUGUUUGAACAUGUAUUUAAUUAUUGUUGGGUUUGUUUAAGUAUUAUUAUUUUGUAAAUAUAAAAAGAAAAGAAAAGAAAAGAAACAAAAAUAGUGAAAGUGUAUGAUUGUG
Molecule: long non-coding RNA, 8604 nt
Filed under: Populus tremula
Lineage: Eukaryota; Viridiplantae; Streptophyta; Magnoliopsida; Malpighiales; Salicaceae
Description: long non-coding RNA (PTRE_LNC000660)
Rfam family: MIR2912 microRNA precursor family (bases 3957-4111)
Source: RNAcentral